Molecule: long non-coding RNA, 96 nt
Organism: Nomascus leucogenys (northern white-cheeked gibbon)
Lineage: Eukaryota; Metazoa; Chordata; Mammalia; Primates; Hylobatidae
Exons: 3
Source: RefSeq, a predicted model, not a curated record
AUGGUGAACCCUGUCUCUACUAAAAAUUACAAAAAUUAGCUGAGCAUGGUGGCAUGUGCCUGUAUCCCAGCUACUUGGGAGGUUGAGGCAGGAGAA